ACUACGGGGGGCUGCAGUGGGGAAUAUUGCACAAUGGGGGAAACCCUGAUGCAGCGACGCCGCGUGAGUGAAGAAGUAUUUCGGUAUGUAAAGCUCUAUCAGCAGGGAAGAAGAAAGACGGUACCUGACUAAGAAGCCCCGGCUAACUACGUGCCAGCAGCCGCGGUAAUACGGAGGGGGCAAGCGUUAUCCGGAUUUACUGGGUGUAAAGGGAGCGUAGACGGCUGUGCAAGUCUGAAGUGAAAGCCCAGGGCUCAACCCUGGGACUGCUUUGGAAACUGUGGAGCUAGAGUGCUGGAGAGGUAAGUGGAAUUCCUGGUGUAGCGGUGAAAUGCGUAGAUAUUAGGAGGAACACCAGUGGCGAAGGCGGCUUACUGGACAGUAACUGACGUUGAGGCUCGAAAGCGUGGGGAGCAAACAGGAUUAGAUACCCUGGUAGUC
Molecule: ribosomal RNA, 441 nt
Filed under: uncultured bacterium
Lineage: Bacteria
Description: partial 16S ribosomal RNA
Rfam family: Bacterial small subunit ribosomal RNA
Source: RNAcentral